UUUGCGACGACUGAAGAAGUGGAGUGGAGUCAGGGGAACAUCAUCGGACUCAGAGUGGCAGGUGAAGAGGACCCACCUACCACCAGACGGGAGCCCCCCCCCCCAGCCGCCGAGACUCCCAAAGGAAGAGGACCAACGGGACGCCGCUGGAUCCACGGGUGGAAGUCCACGCUGGAGGAUCUGAAAGAGCCUGAAGCCCAGCUCUGCUUGCCAGGUGAGUAUCAGAGUAGGCCCUGACUGCUCUGACAAAGCAGAGGCAUGAUUGGUUUCAUCAGAGCAUGUUCCCGUUUUUCUUGCUACAUGACAAGCACUGUGAAGAAGACCUCCUCCCCAUGUGAGGAAGAGCACAGGUGUCCUCACCAGAACUGAGUUGCUUCUGAUCUUAGUUCUUUCGCUUGCAGGGCCAUUGCUUUGUGAGGAACAGCCACUUCUGGCCAGGUGUCUGCUGACUCCAAGUACAAAUUCCAAUGCAACCCGCCUUUGCAGGGGUCUUUCUUUGUAGCAAGUGCUUUGGUGUAUGCAGGCAAAUUUAAAUCCUGUUUGCUUUACGUUUUCCAUGCUCCUACAGGGACUUCUGGUGACACCUUGGGAUAUUUGAGGCCUUUCAGCUAUGUUGUUUUAAAGAGUGUGUUCCAGCAAUAGGUAUGGUGGCAUCCUCUCAGCAUCCUUUAACCCUUCUAUAAGCUAUCUGCCAUCAGCAUAACUAGUUUUAACAGAACUUUGAUUGAGAAAUGGUAUCUGUGAGGCUGUUACACAUAGUUGGAUAAUACAGUCUUCGGAGUUCUCAUAAAAAGCAUCUUUGCUACUCAGCAAUUAGCUCUGGACUUUGUUUUUCCACCUGGGGUGAAUUUUUGGCUGUGUUGCUCUUUCAGCUGUGAGAUUGAUGAGCAGUGACAGCCUUUGCAGAGAAAUGGUAGGUCAGGCGUGCAAAGGCCCUCUGUAAGAGAGAAAGACAGAGUUGAGGGAAUGCCUUGCAUCAGUGAGGGUGUCCCCACUUCCAUAGGCAUUGAUGAAGGAUAGACAUGGAGAGGAAAAGAAAACACAUGAUUUUAGCAUAUGCUUUGCUGAUCCUCUAAGCCUCUCCAGGUCAGCCAAGUGAAAUGUAUUGGUGUUUCUGAGAGACAACUAGUGCCCAUUCAUCCUGUGUUAUUUUGGUCUUCUUGGUGGUGUGUCUGAACCAAAUGGGCUCUUUCUUGAGUAGUGGAGUGGCAGAAGCAAACGGUGGCCUUAGUAGAUUUUUGCUCCCCAGCUAAUGCUGAGAAGUGGUAAGACAGAGAUUUGUGAGUUUUGGGUGAUGGCUGCAUAAUGAAAGGACAGCUCAAAUUAGGACCCUGCCACAGUGCUGAGGCAGGAAGUUGCUCUGAUGCAUGCAGAUUGCUCUCGUGGGCAGAGUUCUUCUCUUCCUCUCUCCCCACUGACCGCAGACCAAAGCUCCCCUGGCACUUUCUCUGACUUUGCCUUUUUUAAAUCUUUGGAGUCUUUACUCUUCCAGAGAAGUAUUGCAUCUUCCUUUGUGACCAGAGGAGCAUCACAAUGGUUUUUGUGAAUAUAUAAGCAAUGUGUCAUGCAACAGAACUGCUCAGGGCAGCAGGGGACUGCGAGCAGUGACCAGCUGAGGUUCAUGGUAUGUUUUUAAAUCUGCUUUGUAAGUCUGAAAGCCUGCUGCAACCCAUGAAUCACUUUUACAUUAUACCAAUGGGGAAUGUUACUGGAAAAUAUAAUGAUAUAUUGUAAUAAUCCAAGUUCAGGUCCAGGAAGAUAAAUCUUCCCCUUCAUUUAUUAAUUUUUGUAGAAAUUUCUCCUAAAUUCCCAGUAACUAAACUGAAAAUUGAAAUUUUGCUGCUUUUCCUGAGAUAAGAAUUUAAUGUGGCAAGUGUACAUCAGCCAUGGUGCAAAUAUAAAAUAGACAAAAAAUCAACAGAAUGAAGGCCUUAAUUUUCUACCAGAUGUAUGGGUGGCAGGCCCAUUGCUUUGUUUCUUCCAGUUUCUCAGUUCUUGUUCUGAGACUUGAUUUGUGAUGAUCCUAUGCACUGUAGACCACAACUUCAGAAUACGAUUCUCUUUUUCUUCCCUUUAUUUUUUUUCUUAACCUAGUUUGAUUAGCAGCAAAUCUGUGAACAGUACUUCCGUUUAAGUUAUGAUCCCGUAUCUAUUGAGAAAUUAUGUAUGAAGAUAUUUUAUUCUCCUUAAAACAAAAUGGAAAUGUUAAGCGUUCAUCUAAAUUUUGUAACUUCUCAACGAAAAAAACAGCUAUCCCACUUAAAGUCAAAAAGUUUGCUUAUGUAUCUGUAUAUAGCCUUAGAGGCUAAUAUUACAUUCUGUGGAACUGAAGGCAGCUCAUAUCCAUAUUAGAGCUUUGCUUUGAGUUUUUUUUGCAAAUCCAGACUGUAACACUGCAACACCUCACUUGGUUCAUAAUCUGAAAGGUACUUUUCUGACCACAAUGAAGAGGAAAUAUGAAGCAGAAGAAACUGGUAAGGAGAAUAUCUUGCCACGGUUCUUUUUCCAAGUCCAAGUGCACUACUGGGAGAAGAUAAUAAACCAGCCAGAAAAAUAACAUUGCUGUGCGUUAAAAGACAAAUUGCAAGGACAAUCUGAUUUAUGAAAGGGAAAGAUUACUCACUUUGGAACCAUUUAAAAAUGAAUCUAUCUUCAUGAAAAAGCAGCUGUUAAAACUGGCGUAAGUAUUUAUGUUUGACCUUGAUUGUUCAGCCUUUGGUAAGAAAACAUCAGCAGUUUUCUUCAGAAAAAUAGCAUUUAAUCAAGUUGCCAUUGGGUGUAGCUAUUGUGUUACUCUCUCCCUAGGUGAUCACAUAACAAAUACAGAACUGGUUAUUUUUGCUAUAUAGACAAUAUAGAACAAUAUUUUUCCUUAACAAUUUCAGAUUUGUCAGUAUUUUCUAAGAAUGACAGAAAUUGUACUAAUUAUUAGAAAAAUUGAUUAUUAAUUACUAAUUAUUAGAAAGAAAGAGUUUACUAUAUAUCCAUUAUUCCAACUGAUACAUAUUUUAAUCAUUAAACUAUUUUAAAAAAUACAGACAGUACAUUUUGUGUUUUAGCUUGAAGGUGGCGUACUUGAGGAGAUGUGCCUUUCCCUAAUUUGAAUAAAUUUGGUUUUGAAAUAACAAUGAUCUGGAGGAGCGGAGAAAAACCCACUUAAAUCUAAUGAAUCCUCGAGAGUAUGCAGAGAUGUUUCAUAAGCAGAUUCUAUGUGCCUAGCAGAACUUGUUGUUCUACUCCCACAGGAUUAGUCGUUCUCAUGGGAAUAAAGGGAGCUAAAUAAACCGUUCUCCUUCUCUAUCCCUCCUUGCCCAGUGUAUAGGACACAGAAAUGUAGGCAUUUGACUGCUUUUUAAAAUGUUAGCAGGCAAAGCAAGAGAAGCAAAAGGAUUGGGUCAAAAUAACGCAAUAGACAUUGAAUAUUCUCAAAUCGGUUAAGGAGCAGGCCACUUUUAGGCUGGUGCCCAUGACAAAUUUAAAGGCUGAAUUUAUGCUGCUUAGCAAACUUUGGCUAUAUUAUAUAUAUAGUAAUAGUUAAAGCCAUCACUUUCACAAUGGGAACAAUGCAAAUCACUUGGUACCGAAUGUCCUUAUUUCUGCUGCUGUCAGAGCUCCUCUGAUCUAAACCUUCCGAGGGCAGGGAGAAGGACAUUCCCCCUGCAUCAAGGGUAAGUCUGUUCUGUGUUCUUCCACUGCAGUGAAGGAUAUAUGACUUCCCAGGGAAAAGACAGAAGAGUUGCAUCUUCUCUGCUUUUCUUGUAUAUUACAGAAGUAGAGUUUGCAGUAUGAGAAAUCUAGUGGCAUAACUGACAUCUAGCAACCCAUUUGUGGCUCUUCAUUGUGGUUCGUCUUCCCUUGAUGCCGUAGGUUCCUCCAGGAAGGAAUAUCAUCUCCUUAGUUGUACUGAGUAGCUUCAAACACACCUCUGAUUUUAGCACUAGCAGCUUAAUUCUUCAAACUAAAAUUUUUAAGAGGUCUAAAGCUGACUUCUGAGUACCUCGAAGUUUCAGCUGACACAGGGGCCUUGUUUUGGGAGUAAAGUAAAAUGUCUGUAAGAAAAAUAAUAAACUAUAUUGCUUAAAUUUGAUGUUCAUUAAAGAUAGGGAGUUCUAACACUGAUUCACACUAAGACAGGUGUGGACCCAGGAAAAGGUCAGGCACCAGCCUAGGAAGAUAAGGAAGGAGCACGGAUGACAAAUGAGUGUGGGACUCCUUCAGUGAGGGUCAGUGGCAGCCACUAAUCUAGGUCUCAGCCAGAAACAUUUCCACAGACAUUUUAAAUGUGCACAGUUACCUUCUUGUUUGCCAAAUCAGUUUGUUUGGGAUCCAAGUUACCUGAGACAUCUGUUAGCUCAGUGGAAAUGCCCAAUCACCUGCAGUGAAUGAUUUGAUUUUUUCAUUAAAAAAAAAUCAACUAGAAUAUCCCUAAGACUCAGAAAACUACUAGCAGAGUAAAAGAAUAUUAAAAAUUUUAUUUUUAACAGAGAGGAAUUCUAGGAAAUGUGGGUACAGUUUUCAAGAGCCCCAGAGAGUGAAAUAAGCACAUUGGCCUUUUGAAAAUGUUAACUCUGUCUAUGAAUUUAAUGAGGUAUGUUACAAGAUGUUAUAGGAUAUAUAGUUAUUCCAGAUCAGGGACUGAUAAUCAGUAUACAGAAAACAUCUGAUACUCAUAAAAGGCAAAGUGUAGUUAAGAUAUUAUCAGUUAAUUACACUAUGUCCAGUUCAGUUAUUGAGGGGACAUAAAGAGCUUUUUUUCCUGCCCUCAUUUUGGCUCUUGCAAUGGGUCUGCUACCUACUUUAGUCUGAUCUUUCUACAGCCAGGUGUUAGUCAGGUAAGGCCCAUGGUGCUUCUUGCUCCCUUGGUAGCAGGAGAGCCAGGGAGGAUCCUACAGUUCCUCGUUAUUCAGAAACCACAUUGGGUUAGCAUAGAUGAAGGGGGCAGGUGCUAUUUAUAUUCCUGUGACUUUUUCAGGAUCAUGGAGUCUUUGUGAUUUUACAUUGUACCUGCACACAAAGCCUGCUUUCAGGGCUCUGGCCGUGAUGACUUUUUUGGUUGCAGUGCAUUAGAAGGACAUUUCAGAAGUGUGACAGCAAAUGUUACAUUGAAGGAUAAAGAUGAAAGAAAAGAAAAGCAAAAAACUUUGUGAAGAAAACUUGGAUAUGCUUACAUCAGUAUAUAACCUAAAAAGUAACUCCUCUAGUUACCGAAUAUGAGGGUCUAUGCCAACAAGUUUUGAGGUAUAGGAAAGAUGACUGAUCCACUUAUUAAGGAUAGAGAUCAUGAGGUAAGUGCCUAGUUUAUACUCAGCUUUGCAUGCAACUGAACAAAUCAUACUGCUUCUCUGUGGUUUAGUUUUCCCAUGUGUAAAAUGAGAGUGAUAAUGCUCAUUUAUUUCACAGGGGUGAGUCUUAAUUAUUGUUUGUAAAAUACCUGGUGAGCUUGGUGUGAAUUCUUUGUUCUGCUGGAGUCAAUGCAGGUUUUGCUUCUGGUUGAUUGCAAAAGGAUUCAGAUUUCAUCCUUAAAGUAGUAAAAAUAUAAAGCUUCUGUCCUGUAUUUGGAAACUCCUCUCCCCUGCUCAUACACGUCUCAACAACUGUGUGAAAGUAUAUAUUAUCCUAGUGAUCCAAUUCAUGAAUUUAUCCCAUAAAAACAUUAAAAUUUUGAAUAACAUAUGAAUUUUCAGGUCUCUGGGUUUUUUUUUUCAGUUGGGCUGGCUAGAGAUGGCUUAUCCACCCUGAAUUUGUUCAAGCCCUCAAAAGAACUGAUUUUUACGAACCAUGGAUGAUUUGUCAGCAAUGACAAAUUAAAGCUCCCUUCCCCACUGCUGAAGAGUGUAAGCUAUCAACAGCUGCAUCUUUCCAGCUUUGCCUAUCAUUCAAGAUAUACUAAUCUGCAAAAAAUAAUGGGAAAGCUGAAAUGAUGGGAUUCAGUUAUUAUACCUCCUCCUCCCCUGAAUUCUUCACAAAAGUAUAAGGAGGCAAAGCUGCUAGUCAGCUCUUAUGCAACUAACAUGGCUGGCCAGGGAGACUUUGCACCUGUCAGGAGAGGAAACCAUAUUUUCGUUAAACAUCAGGACAAGAGAAGCUUUGAGAAAACAUCCAGUGAUAGAUUUUUUAAAAGAUUUUUUAAAAAUAUAGAGUGUUGGCUCACAAAACUUAAGAAAUAUCUAGACUGAAAGAUUUGAUAUGCAAACAGGAAGAAUUUGAAAAUUAGUCUCUUGCCAAGAAGACAGAAACAACCUAGAGCAGUAAAGAAGGGCUAUUAAAACAAUGCAUGACAAUUUCUUAUGAUAUUGAAAGAACAUCAAGAAGAAAACAAAAAAAAAUUAUUUUUUUUCCCAAAAAGUCUGCAAGGAAAGCCAUGGAGAUUUUUAAUGUUUGUAUCUCUCUACUUUAUUAAAGCUUAAAUAGCAAGUGAGCCUGUUGCUCCUUGCACCAGCAACUUCCCACCUUCCUGCUCCUGGUGAAUAGAUCCAAAGAAGGAUUCAGUAGGCAAUGCAUUUCUUUUUAUAUUCAGGUUACAUUUUCUUGUUACAAACCUGGAUCAAUUAUUUCAAAUAUCCUACAGACAAUAAUUAACUCUGGCAACUUCCCUGGCUGAAAGACAAACCAUGGUAAGUCAGAAGCAGUGAGGAUUUCAUUCGACAGAGAAAGAACUAGGCACGUUAUAGAAACUUUCAUAAUGCAGCAGAAGAAACAAACAUCAAAGAGCUUGGCAUCUAGUUCCCCUUGGAAAUAGAAACAGACAAGGUUAACCCAGUCCCAGUAACUGUAUAAUUAGCAAGUAACCUAAAUGCAUGGAGAACACUAUUUUUUUUCCUUUUGGAGAAAAUACUUGUAGCUGAAAUGAAUGCCAUUAGUGUGCUGUUUAUUCUGAAUAUUGACCUUAUCUCAUACUCCUGCCUUUCACUUUAUAAACAAUCUAUUGAGAUCUUUUUUGGGUGGUAUAGGCUUACAAAACCAGAAUUUCCUUGCAAAACACAAAUAUGAAAGUCUAUUAAUUGGUUUUGGAUUUCCUGGCACUGCAUGUUUUCACCAAACAGUUUUAAUUGUGGAUCAGCAAUAUACUCAUUUAAUCUCCUGGGUUUUAGAGUGCCAGGUCAGCUUCAGUAGACCUGGUUUCUCCUUUACUCCUUGCCUGUGUGCUGCCUUUGGCUUGCCACCCAAUCCCUACUGUGGAAGCAUAGUCUCAAGAAGUGGUGUGUGGUCUCCCCGUCUUAAAAAAUCAUACCUUUCUGUGUGUCAAGGGGAGCUCAAGUCUCUGCAAGAGGAGACAAAACUAUCCUUCGGCUUGAGGAAGAUCCCUUGUUCAAUGGACUGACUGCUAAUUUAUGUAUUGGAAAAGAUAUCUUUCUUUCAAAGCAAUGAAGGAAAGACUCUGUCCAUAGAAUAACAAGAAAUGGCAACAUAUACAACAUAACUAGGGCCUCCUCCUUUCAAUAGCCCUGAUAUUUGGACUUUUGCAGCCCUCUCCCAAACUGCUUUUGUCUUCCCCAUUUUCACAUGUGCUCUCACUGUUCCUUGGACCUUUGCUUAAGAGUAAUUCAGCAGAAAAUUGUUUGAAAAAUUGUAUGUGGCCCCCUACUGACUAUUUGAAACAGGUGAUGCUAAUCACCCAGUGACUUGGCAGGUGCUAAGUUACCGCUUAUGUUAUGGGAAUGCAACAAGAUCUCUUUGCUAAAAGUGGAGCUGGGUGACCAGCUUAUGUUUUCACCAUCACAACAGUAGCAUUACAACAUAGCUACGUAUCCUGCAAAAUAGAAGAUAAACAAAUGUGAGAAGAAUUUUUUAACAAAGAAGUGAUUUAACUCUGUCUUUUUAUCAGCAGUGUGGAUUUUCUCUGGAGUGCACAGGUUUCAGUGUUACUGCCUGAGGACAGCCAUAGCUUCCAAAUCCACAUGUAUAGAAAGAAGGGAGCAAGUGCCAGAGCUGGAAGAUGCUGCCUCAGCUGGAAAUGAGUUACCAUGUGUCUACUGAAAUGUGGCAGUUUAGGUUUUUUGGGGACAGCUGGGCUGCAUGAUCUGCAGCAAUGAGAAGACCUCAAUUUUCACCAGAAUCUGUGCUUCCCUUUAAAGAUGUAGGAAGGAAUUUGGAAAUGGGAAAUCACAGGAUUUUGGAGGUGUGGUGGAUAAUCAUAAGUUGGGAGCAGGGUUGCUUUGGGAAGAUAUACAAGAGCCAAAUAGGAGAUGACUGCACAGUUGUCUGUUAGGUGAGGAUUUGAGUACAUGGCACAGAUUCAAAAGUUCUGGCUGCCCAAGGAACAUGUUGUAAAAUCAGGCUGUCUCUUGCCCGGUGAAUACUGAAUCAGCUCCAAUACUGAAAUACUGAAAGAGACCUCUGGCAUAUCCAAUAAAAGUAAGAGCAUUAAUGGUAUAAGAAUGCUGGUAAGAUGGGAGAUCAAGGCCCUUUGUCAUCUGGAUUUACAUUCACUAAUAAAAAUAUUAUAUUGAUAAAAGGAGAAAGGAAAACUGUAUUGCCAGGAUCAGGUAUGAUUUAUGCACAGCAGUAAUUACAAGAACACUUGGCUUAAGUCUGUGUCAUGGCUCUUUUGUGGGAUAUAUAAGUAGUGCCAGACAUCGUAGGAGGAUCCAGUGGUAUGAUGAAUAAUAUUAUAGUUAUUGUGGAUAUUAAAAGGAGAUAUAGCUACCAGAAGGGUCAGUAAACAGAGAACAGAGAAUAGGAAAGUGCUAUACAAUUUGUUCUUGACGAGAAACAGAUGAGUCCGUGUUCUUUGUGGGUCAAUGAGUUGUUUUUCUAUAGUUUCUCCCUGUAGUCAGGAGAGGUUUUAGGCAGAAUACAUGGUUGCCAUAGAAGCAGAUGGCUAACAACAUGAAAACGAUCAGUAAUGGUAGGCCUGUGCUUUGCUAUCUGUGUGCCUGAUGAUGUGCAUGUGCCACUGUCCCUUCCCUAUACAAGGCCACAGCUUUUGGAGUGAGUGAGCCUUAUUCUCUUCCCCUCUUUCCCCUCUCCGUCUCUGCAGGACUGAACUCCAGCUGGUUGCAUUUCUGCAGUCCUAUGCAUACCUGCCCACACUCAUGUCACCUGUGUCUCUGGACUCCAAACUUUCCAUCUGUUUCAAGGAAUCAUGUCAUGGAGGUUAGGGUAUGUUUCACCAAGGCAAAGGUUUCUGAGAAACAAGACUUUUUCUGAUAAAUGACCUCUCCAUGAAUUCCUGGAGAACUGAGGCAUAGGAAGAGGAAAAUGAUGCAGAAAGGGAUACAGCAAUGGAUAACACAGGAGGAGAAACAGCAAAGACAGAGAGCUGGUGGGAGAGGUAAGUGAAAGGCAUAUACCUAAUCUGACUAGGGAAGUGGAUAUCAUGGAGGAAGAAGACCUAUUUAAACCAAAUGAAAAUGUUGGAAUAAGUAUAAUGUAGCGUAGGUGAGUCAUGGGAGAAAAUAAACCAGCAAUGAGAAAAGGGUUUCCAUAUACCAGACAGCUAGGAUUCUGGAUCAACCUUCAGAAGACAACUGAGAAGUAUUACAGUGAAGCUGAUGUAUUUAUGAAAUAAAUUGUAUAAGCUGGAUGUUACAGCUAUCAGGAAACUGGACAUAAUGUCAAAAAGAUCCUUCACAGUAGUUCUAUACUAUUUGUCAAUGUGGUCCCAAGUUCACCUGUUAUCCAAACUGAGCACUUGAAAAGGGCCUUAAGUCAGCACCGAGCACAACAUGUAAAAAAGGCCGUUAUCCCUUAAGCAUACACCAAAGCCCUUCUGUACGAUCACAGAGAAGGUAACAAGUUGAAGGCUUGCUGUAUUAUACCUUGCUUGUCUUACAGCUACUGUUGAGAGAAGUCAGCCAGGCUCCUUGCCUAUGCAGGCAGCAGGGCGAAAGGAGUGACCUGCAGGCUGGCAAGUGAACACACAAAGCAGCUCUCAGGGCAGUCCCCAGCCUGCUCCCGGUCUGACAGUGUGGAUGCACUGUCCUGUGUCCUCUGUUCCUCUACAGGAAAAGUAACACAGAAGAGGAUUCCCAACAACCACAGCAAAUCAGCUUAUAUUGAAGCAGAAACACUGAGCUGAGAAAUAAAAGAUAAUAAACGUGGCAGUUAAACAAAGAGGUCAAAUGGCCAAAAAGUAGCUUAGAAAACCAAAGCACACAAAGCCCCAGGGGUCAUCCAUGGAGCUCCAGCUACUGUGUUAUCUACAGAUCCUAAUAAUGUUGGGUUUAACCAAGAGAUUCAUCAAAUGCCAGAGUGUCUUGACAGCAGGGACAAUUAGGGUAUGAAGAAACAUACCUGGUAGCAAGGAAAUACUCAUCUCUCUCUGGUCUCUGCUAGAAGUGAGAGGUGGUUUUGAAUUGUAUUUUCUUCUUGCUGCAACUGUAUUGUGCAAGUGUUGGAUUUCUUUUCAACUGCUGGCCUCUGAUGAUGUAUUAAUUUGAAUAAAUGCAUUUUCUAUUUCAAAAGAAAACGAAACUCCUUCUCAUCCCUUCUACAGCAUACAGCAU
Long non-coding RNA from Dromaius novaehollandiae (emu), 10448 nucleotides. RefSeq lists it as uncharacterized. The record is from RefSeq and is a predicted model, not a curated record. Lineage: Eukaryota; Metazoa; Chordata; Aves; Casuariiformes; Dromaiidae. The transcript is spliced from 4 exons.